RNAcentral lists this ribosomal RNA (446 nucleotides) under uncultured bacterium. RNAcentral describes it as "partial 16S ribosomal RNA". It matches the Rfam family "Bacterial small subunit ribosomal RNA", at positions 338 to 795 of the family's 1533-position model. The record is from RNAcentral.
CCUACGGGAGGCAGCAGUAGGGAAUUUUCGGCAAUGGGGGGAACCCUGACCGAGCAACGCCGCGUGAACGAAGAAGUUAUUCGUCAUGUAAAGUUCUUUUUACAGGGAAGAAAGAGAAAUUUGACGGUACCUGAAGAAUAAGCUCCGGCUACCUACGCGCCAGCAGCCGCGGUAAUACGGAGGGAGCGAACGUUAUCCGGAAUGAUUGGGCGUAAAGGGUGCGUAGAUGGCAUAGUAAGUCUUUUGGAAAAAUGCGGGGCUCAACCCAGUAGGGCAAAAGAUACUGCAAAGCUAGAGUAUGACAGAGGCAAGUGGAACUACAGGUGUAGCGGUAAAAUGCGUAAAUAUAAGUAAGAACACCAGUGGCGAAGGCGGCUUGCUGGGUCGAUACUGACAUUGAGGCACGAAAGCGUGGGGAGCGAACAGGAUUAGAUACCCCAGUAGUC